CCUCGAGGCCCCCCUCGAGGAUUUGGUUGCCCGACUCACGCCGCUGCCCGACCCGAGACGCCGCCACCGACUCCUCCCAAGACGUCGCCGCCGACUCCUUCCCAAGACGCCGCGCCGCCCGACGCCUCGACGCCGGCGAUCUCCUCCGGCAUACUGGACUUCUCCCCGGUGCCUGCCGCUUGGAUCCUUGUUGGGGUGGACGAGUUACCUCCUUCUUGGGAACUUGUUGCCACGCCAAACUUUGAUUGGAGCAAGAAACUGCUGUGAAAAGGGAGACAUCGCCUGACAUGAUCAAAAAGGAGAUUUUGCGUGUACAAGUAGAGCUGAUGAAGUGAAGUGUACCAGGUAAUUCCUGACAUCUCAUUUGGGGACUGCUGUGAGACUCAUGUAUACAACUUGCUCAACCACACUUUGGGCAAAAUCUGAUGGGUGUUUGCUGCGAAAGAUUAUGUUGUUAUGAUAAAUUAUGAAUGUUGGGAUUUGGGUUUCAAAAACAUGUUAUGAUAAAUUAUGUAGUUGCCGUGAUGAGAUAUUGAUUUCAAGUCAUUUUUAUCAAUUCUGCAACAAGGAUAUAAGGGGAGUUAGUUACAUUGUAAAGAUUGGAUUUUUAAAUGUUCUACACCAUGUUAUGUCAACAUGACAAACCCUUUCUACCAAAUGGAAAUUUUAAACAAAGAGGAUUGUGAAAGGAAGGUUUUGAGGAUUCAAGGAGU
Molecule: long non-coding RNA, 713 nt
Organism: Aegilops tauschii subsp. strangulata
Lineage: Eukaryota; Viridiplantae; Streptophyta; Magnoliopsida; Poales; Poaceae
Source: RefSeq, a predicted model, not a curated record